GAUGAAUGCUGGCGGCGUGCCUAACACAUGCAAGUCGAGCGGCAGCGAGGGGUGCUUGCACCCUGUCGGCGAGCGGCGAACGGCUGAGUAACGCGUAGGAAUUUGCCACAAAGUGAGGAAUAACUGCCCGAAAGGGUAGCUAAUGCCGCAUAUGGUCUUCGGAUCAAAGGAUUUAUCCGCUUUGGGAGAAGCUUGCGUUGGAUUAGGUUGUUGGUAGGGUAAUGGCCUACCAAGCCGACGAUCCAUAGCUGGUCGGAGAGGAUGAUCAGCCAGACUGGCACUGGGACACGGUCCAGACUCCUACGGGAGGCAGCAGUGAGGGAUCGUCCAAAAUGGGCGAAAGCAUGAUGGUGCUACGCCGCGAGAAGGAUGAAGGCAUUCGAGUUGUAAACUUCUUUUAUGAGUGAACAAUAUGACGGUAACUCAUGAAUAAGCCCCGGCUAACUACGUG
Molecule: ribosomal RNA, 451 nt
Filed under: uncultured bacterium
Lineage: Bacteria
Description: partial 16S ribosomal RNA
Rfam family: Bacterial small subunit ribosomal RNA
Source: RNAcentral